Molecule: unclassified non-coding RNA, 240 nt
Filed under: soil metagenome
Description: partial contains 5.8S ribosomal RNA, internal transcribed spacer 2, and large subunit ribosomal RNA
Source: RNAcentral
AACCUAGCACACCUGCGGUGUGUACCUGCGGAGGGAUCAUUAAAAGAGAAUUGUUUCUUGAAUGGCUCUUAUGAGUCUGAUAGAAAACAACUUCCCAACCCUUGUCUACAUAAACCAAAAUUUUGUUGCUUCGGCGAAUUAUGGGGUCUUAUCAGCCUUAUAGUUGUUGACCUCUCGCCAGAAGAAUUUCAAAUAAACUCUUAUAACAAAACUGUCUGAUAAUACAUUUUGAGAUUGUAU